ACUCCUACUGGAGGCAGCAGUGGGGAAUUUUCCGCAAUGGGCGAAAGCCUGACGGAGCAACGCCGCGUGAGGGAUGAAGGCCUCUGGGCUGUAAACCUCUUUUCUCAAGGAAGAAGAACUGACGGUACUUGAGGAAUAAGCCACGGCUAAUUCCGUGCCAGCAGCCGCGGUAAUAC
RNAcentral lists this ribosomal RNA (176 nucleotides) under uncultured bacterium. RNAcentral describes it as "partial 16S ribosomal RNA". It matches the Rfam family "Bacterial small subunit ribosomal RNA", at positions 335 to 526 of the family's 1533-position model. The record is from RNAcentral.